UACAUAUAAGUGGGUGGAGGAAAAGACACAAACCUAGACUCCAGAAGUAGUUGCGAAUGAAUGUGGAGCUGCUCAGCUUGAAAUCUGUUAGGCACCUGCCACUGACAUGAAACUUCUGAGUGUGUUGUCAAUGGAGGUGCAUGUGUUAGCCACUUUGGAAAGGGGGGAUGCAGGUAUAUACAAGGGUGAGAAUCCAUCUUGUCACUUGCUUUGCCUCUGUGUACUGCACAGGUGUUCCAGAAUCAUGCUCUUUGGAAGUGGAGUGUAAAGGGGGCGGUAGAUUUCAUCCAAAGGUGACCACAAUGCUGAGACCGACAGUGAAGAAGUACCAUGAGGGAAGUGUGAAAAGGACUUUGGAAAGAGAACUAAAAGAGCCUGCACUUGCUGAAUGGCAAGCACACAGGAUAGCAGCGCUUGGGAGUAUUGCUUGAUGUUGAGUAGGGAGUGUGCAAGCAUGUCUGUUAAGCAUCCGGAGCUUCCUUCCAUGCAUGCCAGCAGCAACAGGGGCAGUCUGUGACUGUGGGACUGCUUGAGUGUGUUUUGGCCACAUCAUCUGCGAGCUGCGUGAACUUGUUGACGUUGUAAUGCAUUAUGUAUUCUGACCAAGGUGUCCUCGAGGAGAGCUCCAAGAAUCAACUAGUGCCAUGCUGGCAAACUUGUUCUGUGUGACCCGUCUUGAAACACGGACUGAGGAGUCUGACGCGUAUGCAAGCUACUGGGUGUGAGAAGUUGUUGCACAAUGAAAGUGUAGCCCCAGACAUACCCAGGUGGGUUCAACCAACCAGUUGGAUGAGGUUUGAGUCUAAGCAUUCCCGUUAGGACCCGAAAGAUGGUGAACUAUGCCUGGCAAGGGCCAAGUCAGGGGAAACUCUGGUGGAGGACUGCAGCGGUACUGACGUGCAAAUCGUUCGUCACAUAUGGGUAUGGGGGCGAAAGACUAAUCGAACCAUCUAUAAUG
RNAcentral lists this ribosomal RNA (958 nucleotides) under Gambierdiscus polynesiensis. Its description in RNAcentral is "LSU rRNA". It matches the Rfam family "Eukaryotic large subunit ribosomal RNA", at positions 37 to 950 of the family's 3401-position model. The record is from RNAcentral. Lineage: Eukaryota; Dinophyceae; Gonyaulacales; Pyrocystaceae.